This 486-nucleotide ribosomal RNA is filed under the name uncultured bacterium. RNAcentral describes it as "partial 16S ribosomal RNA". It matches the Rfam family "Bacterial small subunit ribosomal RNA", at positions 30 to 507 of the family's 1533-position model. The record is from RNAcentral.
AUUGAACGCUGGCGGCAUGCCUUACACAUGCAAGUCGAACGGCAGCACGGGUGCUUGCACCUGGUGGCGAGUGGCGAACGGGUGAGUAAUACAUCGGAACAUGUCCUGUAGUGGGGGAUAGCCCGGCGAAAGCCGGAUUAAUACCGCAUACGCUCUACGGAUGAAAGCGGGGGACCUUCGGGCCUCGCGCUAUAGGGUUGGCCGAUGGCUGAUUAGCUAGUUGGUGGGGUAAAGGCCUACCAAGGCGACGAUCAGUAGCUGGUCUGAGAGGACGACCAGCCACACUGGAACUGAGACACGGCCCAGACUCCUACGGGAGGCAGCAGUGGGGAAUUUUGGACAAUGGGCGAAAGCCUGAUCCAGCAAUGCCGCGUGUGUGAAGAAGGCCUUCGGAUUGUAAAGCACUUUUAUCCGGAAAGAAAUCCUGUGCCCUAAUACGGUCGGGGGUUGACGGUACCGAAAGAAUAAGCACCGGCUAACUACGUG